AAAUAGAGUGUUUUAUGGCACUCUAAAAAAAAUCCAUAUCCACCUUGUGUGAAAUGUUAAUCCUUGUCAAUCGAACUUCUGAAUGAAGGGAGGUGGAUGAGGUUUUUUAUAUCAACUCUUUUUUAAAUUUAUUUUAUUUGUCUGUAAAACGUUAUGAAUUUACUUAAUUCAAAACA
RNAcentral lists this unclassified non-coding RNA (176 nucleotides) under uncultured Mortierellales. Its description in RNAcentral is "sequence contains ITS1". The record is from RNAcentral. Lineage: Eukaryota; Fungi; Mortierellomycota; Mortierellomycetes; Mortierellales.